GACGAACGCUGGCGGCGUGCUUAACACAUGCAAGUCGAACGAAGAGCGAUGGAAGCUUGCUUCUAUCAAUCUUAGUGGCGAACGGGUGAGUAACGCGUAAUCAACCUGCCCUUCAGAAGGGGACAACAGUUGGAAACGACUGCUAAUACCGCAUACGAUCUAAUCUCGGCAUCGAGGAAAGAUGAAAGGUGGCCUCUAUGUAUAAGCUAUCACUGAAGGAGGGGAUUGCGUCUGAUUAGCUAGUUGGAGGGGUAACGGCCCACCAAGGCGAUGAUCAGUAGCCGGUCUGAGAGGAUGAACGGCCACAUUGGGACUGAGACACGGCCCAGACUCCUACGGGAGGCAGCAGUGGGGAAUCCUCCGCAAUGGACGAAAGUCUGACGGAGCAACGCCGCGUGAGUGAUGACGGCCUUCGGGUUGUAAAGCUCUGUUAAUCGGGACGAAAGGCCUUC
RNAcentral lists this ribosomal RNA (452 nucleotides) under Veillonella dispar. RNAcentral's name for it is "bacterial SSU rRNA". It matches the Rfam family "Bacterial small subunit ribosomal RNA", at positions 28 to 457 of the family's 1533-position model. The record is from RNAcentral. Lineage: Bacteria; Bacillati; Bacillota; Negativicutes; Veillonellales; Veillonellaceae.